RNAcentral lists this ribosomal RNA (716 nucleotides) under uncultured crenarchaeote. RNAcentral's name for it is "bacterial SSU rRNA". The stretch from base 1 to 642 matches the Rfam family "Archaeal small subunit ribosomal RNA", at positions 321 to 1478 of the family's 1478-position model. Lineage: Archaea; Thermoproteati; Thermoproteota. The record is from RNAcentral.
CCCUAUGGGGUGCAGCAGGCGCGAAAACUCCGCAAUGCGCGAAAGCGUGACGGGGUCAUCCCGAGUGCCAUCCGCUGAAGGUGGCUUUUGUUCGGUGUAAGGAGCCGAAAGAAUAAGGGGAGGGCAAGUCUGGUGUCAGCCGCCGCGGUAAUACCAGCUCCCCGAGUGGUUGGGACGGUUAUUGGGUUUAAAGCGUCCGUAGCCUGUUGGAGAAGUUCUCCGUUAAAUCCAACGAUUCAAUCGUUGGGCCGCGGAGAUUACUCUUCAGCUUGGGGGCGGAGGAUGUCGACGGUAGUCCCGGGGUAGGGGCGAAAUCCUAUAAUCCCGGGAGGACCACCAGUGGCGAAGGCGGUCGACAAAUACGCGCCCGACGGUGAGGGACGAAAGCUGGGGGAGCGAACGGGAUUAGAUACCCCGGUAGUCCCAGCUGUAAACAAUGCAGGCUAGGUGUUAGGACGGCUACGGGCCGUUCUAGUGCCGCAGGGAAGCCGUUAAGUCUGCCACCUGGGAAGUACGGUCGCAAGGCUGAAAUCACUAGAGGUAUAGUAUUGGGAAAUUCUAUGUUUUCUGUAGGUAUAACUAUUCUAGAUAUAACAAAGAUUUAACUUUUCAAAAAUUUAGCGCGCGCUAGCAGCAAGUAAUCUCUAAAUCACUAGGAUGAUAAAUAUUUCUCGUACAGAAAUACGAUAAUACCAUGUCACUCCUGUGACAGCAUA